AUUGAACGCUGGCGGCAUGCCUUACACAUGCAAGUCGAACGGCAGCACGGACUUCGGUCUGGUGGCGAGUGGCGAACGGGUGAGUAAUGUAUCGGAACGUACCUUUCAGUGGGGGAUAACGUAGCGAAAGUUACGCUAAUACCGCAUAUUCUGUGAGCAGGAAAGCAGGGGAUCGAAAGACCUUGCGCUGAUUGAGCGGCCGAUAUCAGAUUAGCUAGUUGGUGGGGUAAAGGCCUACCAAGGCGACGAUCUGUAGCGGGUCUGAGAGGAUGAUCCGCCACACUGGAACUGAGACACGGUCCAGACUCCUACGGGAGGCAGCAGUGGGGAAUUUUGGACAAUGGGGGCAACCCUGAUCCAGCCAUGCCGCGUGAGUGGAGAAGGCCUUCGGGUUGUAAAGCUCUUUCGGCCGGGAAGAAAUCGCAUAGGCUAAUACCCUGUGUGGAUGACGGUACCGGAAGAAGAAGCACCGGCUAACUACGUG
RNAcentral lists this ribosomal RNA (484 nucleotides) under uncultured bacterium. RNAcentral's name for it is "partial 16S ribosomal RNA". It matches the Rfam family "Bacterial small subunit ribosomal RNA", at positions 30 to 507 of the family's 1533-position model. The record is from RNAcentral.